This 256-nucleotide ribosomal RNA is filed under the name uncultured bacterium. Its description in RNAcentral is "partial 16S ribosomal RNA". It matches the Rfam family "Bacterial small subunit ribosomal RNA", at positions 521 to 776 of the family's 1533-position model. The record is from RNAcentral.
UAAUACGUAGGGUGCAAGCGUUAAUCGGAAUUACUGGGCGUAAAGCGUGCGCAGGCGGAUGAUUAAGUUAGAAGUGAAAUCCCCGGGCUUAACCUGGGAAUUGCUUUUGAUACUGGUCAUCUAGAGUUUGUCAGAGGGGGGUGGAAUUCCAAGUGUAGCAGUGAAAUGCGUAGAGAUUUGGAGGAACACCAAUGGCGAAGGCAGCCCCCUGGGAUAGAACUGACGCUCAUGCACGAAAGCGUGGGUAGCAAACAGG